This 1636-nucleotide unclassified non-coding RNA is filed under the name uncultured fungus. Its description in RNAcentral is "sequence contains 18S rRNA gene, ITS1, 5.8S rRNA gene, ITS2, 28S rRNA gene". The stretch from base 609 to 1636 matches the Rfam family "Eukaryotic large subunit ribosomal RNA", at positions 1 to 961 of the family's 3401-position model. Lineage: Eukaryota; Fungi. The record is from RNAcentral.
GGUUGGAUCAUUAAAAAAUCCAAGGCGAGAGUCUUUACCGACGUCUCUGCCUUAAACUGGCCUUUGGGCCUUUAACCCACUGUGAACUGUUUAUUGACUCUGGUUAAUGCGUAUGCACUAGCCAGUAUCAACUUUUUUAACCUGAUUUUUAUCGUCUUACUUUAAAGAUUUAAUCUUUACAACUUUUGACAAUGGAUCUCUAGGCUCUCGCAACGAUGAAGAACGCAGCGAAAUGCGAUACGUAAUGUGAAUUGCAGCACUCGUGAAUCAUCGAAUCUUUGAACGCAUAUUGCGCCUAGUGGUAUUCCGCUAGGCAUGCCUGUUUGAGAAUCAUUUUAACCUAUCACCUUAUGGUGGAUUUGGGCGCUCACACUGCAAAGUGCGUCGCCUUAAAGAAAUAGUUCUGCCUUGGGUUCUUGAUGGAUCUCUGCAACGCUUUAUCAAUUGUAGCUUCGGCUGCAUUUAUCGCCUAGCAGUUGUCCGCUUGUCAAGUCUCCGUCUAGGUUGACUCAAUUAAACAACGGCCUUUAAACCACCGUUGACUUUAUCCAAGACGGUAGUAACCGUAGGUCUCUAGUAGACGAACGCGUUACCCGACUUUGAUUACUUGGUCUCAAAUCAGGCAAGAGUACCCGCUGAACUUAAGCAUAUCAAUAAGCGGAGGAAAAGAAACUAACAAGGAUUCCCUUAGUAACGGCGAGUGAAGCGGGAAUAGCUCAAAUUUGAAAUCUCACUGGUUUCCAGUGCGAAUUGUAGUUUAGAGAAGUGUUUUCGGUGGUGAGCCAGGUAUAAGUCCUCUGGAACGAGGCAUCGUAGAGGGUGACAAUCCCGUCUUAGGCCUGGAAUUCACUGCUAUGUGAUACACUUUCAAAGAGUCGGGUUGUUUGGGAAUGCAGCCCAAAAUGGGUGGUAAAUACCAUCUAAAGCUAAAUAACGGCGAGAGACCGAUAGCGAACAAGUACCGUGAGGGAAAGAUGAAAAGAACUUUGAAAAGAGAGUUAAACAGUACGUGAAAUUGUCAAAAGGGAAACGCUUGAAACCAGUAUUGCGGGUAAGAAAUCAGUCGUUGCCUAAGGGGAACGGUGCACUUUCUUACUAGCAAGUCAACAUCAGUUUGACUUUGAGGAAAAAGCUUGCGGAAUGUAGCCUUCGGGUGUUAUAGACGCAAGUUCUACUCUGGGUUGGACUGAGGUUCGCAGUGCAGUCUUGGGUUCCUAGUCGCCUUGGAAGUAGUAUGUGCAGACAGCUUGCUGAUUGUAUGUGCUAUGCCCAAGCUCGGUUAGUUCUGCCACAUCUGUGCUUAGGAUGUUGACGAAAUGGUUUUAAACGACCCGUCUUGAAACACGGACCAAGGAGUCUAACAUAUAUGCGAGUAUUCGGGUGGCAAACCCGUAUGCGUAAUGAAAGUGAUAAGGUGGGAUCUUCGGUGCACCAUCGACCGGUCUGGAUACUUGUUUGAAAGAUCUGAGUAAGAGCAUAUCUGUUGGGACCCGAAAGAUGGUGAACUAUGCCUGAAUAGGGUGAAGCCAGAGGAAACUCUGGUGGAGGCUAGUAGCGAUUCUGACGUGCAAAUCGAUCGUCAAAUUUGGGUAUAGGGGCGAAAGACUAAUCGAACCAUCUAGUAGCUGGUUCCCUC